UAAUGACUGGGGUGAAGUCGUACAAGGUAGCCGUACCGGAAGGUGCGGCUGGAUCACCUCCUAACAGGGAGACAAAACUGAUUAUGAUGUUUGAAUUAUUUAGCUUCAAGCCAUAAUCCUGUCACCUUAGGUCGAUCGGUACCUCAGUUUGAUAUUUAAAAACUAUUAAAUUCAGUUCCUAAACUUUGUCUAGGUCACACCCAGCAAGGGUACUCCUGGGCCAUUAGCUCAGGUGGUUAGAGCGCACCCCUGAUAAGGGUGAGGUCCCUGGUUCAAGUCCAGGAUGGCCCAUUCGGUGUUGGGGGUAUAGCUCAGUUGGUAGAGCGCCUGCUUUGCAAGCAGGAUGUCAGCGGUUCGAGUCCGCUUACCUCCACUGAUCGACCUUCUGAAAUCGAAGCUUAUGGAGAUCUUUCCUUCGAUGUGAUCUAGAAUUUGUUCCUGAAUACUUUGAACCCAGCUUCUUAUCAUUCCAACUAAUCAAAUUAUUACUUUGGUUUGGUUGAUACGACGCUGGGCUCCCCUGCAAUUUAAUUUGCGGAGAAGUUCAAUAGAACCUUGACAACUGCAUAGGUGAGUCUGGAAAAAAUAAAGCAUCUCAUGGAUGAAUUAUUUUUCUGAACACAUGAGAUACGUGUUUUGAUUUAAUCAAAACAUUAAUUUAGAUGUGUUUGAAAUAAUAAUUUUGAUUCUUGAGCAAGAGCCGAGACUUUAUGACGUUAUUUCUUUGUUAAAUUCAUUGAGACUUGGAUCUUUAAUUCAAAUUUAUUAGGUAUUCAAUUUUAGAUUUUUUCUAAUAAAUGAAGCUUGAUUUUAUAUUUGGAUUGAAGAAAUAUUUAACGUUAUAAAGGUUUAAUGGUCAAGCUACAA
This 867-nucleotide unclassified non-coding RNA is filed under the name uncultured Prochlorococcus sp. Its description in RNAcentral is "partial 16S-23S ribosomal RNA intergenic spacer; may also contain 16S ribosomal RNA and 23S ribosomal RNA". The stretch from base 301 to 373 matches the Rfam family "tRNA". Lineage: Bacteria; Bacillati; Cyanobacteriota; Cyanophyceae; Synechococcales; Prochlorococcaceae. The record is from RNAcentral.